Long non-coding RNA from Amphimedon queenslandica, 977 nucleotides. RefSeq lists it as uncharacterized. Lineage: Eukaryota; Metazoa; Porifera; Demospongiae; Haplosclerida; Niphatidae. The transcript is spliced from 6 exons. The record is from RefSeq and is a predicted model, not a curated record.
UAAUUAAUUUAACCUCUGCGGUAUGGUUACGCACACUGAGCAUGCGCAGAAGAGCAGUGCCUGUGGUCCCUGGGCAGUGGCCCGUGGGCAGUUGCAGCUGCAGUCUUCUUUGUCAUUUGCCCACCAUUAUUGACUCUGCUUUUGCUGUUUUAUUAGUACUGUUCCUGUCUUUUAAGAUGCACUGAAAUAUUUCAAUAGGUGAGCCAAAGAUUACUAAUUCUUUUGAACAUUUUAGAUGAAAAUAUCUAAACCACAGACAUCAUUCUAAGCGGUUAUGUGUCAACAGCUGGACUCGAGAAGAAGUACAGGAGUGCUUGCUUGUAUUAUGGCAACUUAGUGUUUCAGACAGUUUAAGGCUAACUGUGUCGGAAUCUGUGAUGUCAGUGGAAAUCACAUCUAACUAGGUCGUGCUAGGAUAGUCUGAAGGCAGUUGGAAUCACAGUUUUAAUCCCGAAACUGAUCAUCAAAUUGAAUUUUGGCAACAGUUUCUAAUUAUUAUGCUGGGUCUAUUUAUUUAUGGAUGAACCAAACCUCAUUAGGCUUCACAAGAUUAGAAAGAAAGAAAAUACUGGUAACUGAUAUUAAAAGAAGCAAAAGAUUGUGCUAGAAUAAUUCUGAAUAGAGUGAAUAUGAUUACAGUGCGAAAUCAUAAAGAAGCAAUAAUUGAUGAAUUAUUAACUAUUUGGAGCUGAUGAUGUCAUUUUGAAAUGUUAUCAUACAACAAUAAUAUAAAGAAAUAAGGGUGGAACAGUCAGUAUUUUAUCAAUUUUAAUAUGUUUUAUAAAUAGUUAGUUGUUUAUUGUUUACAGUUAUGUUUACUUACAUUUUUAGUUACUUUAAAUAGUUUAGUAAUUAUUUUUACUAGUUUUAUUGCGUUAAAUUUACUUGUAUUUUGUUGUUAAUUUCAUGUCAAUCAAUGUGAUUUUAACCUUUUGUAUUUGUUAUUUUCAAUCUAUUUUAAUUGUUAAAAUAACUGU